ACUUAAAAAUAAUUGAGUUUGUGCUUGCUUUGGAACAAUACACAGAAGAUUAGCAUGGCCCUUGCACAAGGAUGACAUGCAAAUUCAUGAAACGUUCCAUAUUUUU
Molecule: small nuclear RNA, 106 nt
Filed under: Spermophilus dauricus (Daurian ground squirrel)
Lineage: Eukaryota; Metazoa; Chordata; Mammalia; Rodentia; Sciuridae
Source: RNAcentral